RNAcentral lists this ribosomal RNA (498 nucleotides) under uncultured bacterium. RNAcentral describes it as "bacterial SSU rRNA". It matches the Rfam family "Bacterial small subunit ribosomal RNA", at positions 35 to 507 of the family's 1533-position model. The record is from RNAcentral.
GCUGGCGGCGUGCUUAACACAUGCAAGUCGAACGAGGGAAUUCUUUUCGGAGAAUAUACCGAGUGGCAAACGGGUGAGUAACGCGUAGACAACCUGCCUCUCAGAUGGGGACAACAGCCCGAAAGGGCUGCUAAUACCGAAUGUUGUAUUUUCUCCGCAUGGAGGAGAUAUUAAAGAUGGCCUCUACUUGUAAGCUAUCACUGAGAGAUGGGUCUGCGUCUGAUUAGCUAGUUGGUGGGGCAACGGCCUACCAAGGCGACGAUCAGUAGCCGGUCUGAGAGGAUGAACGGCCACAUUGGAACUGAGACACGGUCCAGACUCCUACGGGAGGCAGCAGUGGGGAAUCUUCCGCAAUGGGCGAAAGCCUGACGGAGCAACGCCGCGUGAGUGAAGAAGGUCUUCGGAUCGUAAAGCUCUGUUGUCGGGGACGAAUGUUGAGGCCUAGAACAUAGGUUUCAAAUGACGGUACCUGACGAGGAAGCCACGGCUAACUACGUG